This is a long non-coding RNA of Oncorhynchus tshawytscha (Chinook salmon), 405 nucleotides long. The record is from Ensembl. Lineage: Eukaryota; Metazoa; Chordata; Actinopteri; Salmoniformes; Salmonidae.
GUGGAGGGGUUGAGGGUAGAGGUAGAGGAGUGGGUGGUAGGAGUGGAGGGGUUGAGGGUAGAGGUAGAGGAGUGGGUGGUAGGAGUGGAGGGGUUGAGGGUAGAGGAGUGGGUGGUAGGAGUGGAGGGGUUGAGGGUAGAGGUAGAGGAGUGGGUGGUAGGAGUGGAGGGGUUGAGGGUAGAGGUAGAGGAGUGGGUGGUAGGAGUGGAGGGGUUGAGGGUAGGGGUAGAGGAGUGGGUGGUAGGAGUGGAGGGGUUGAGGGUAGAGGAGUGGGUGGUAGGAGUAGAGGGGUUGAGAGUAGAGGUAGAGGAGUGGGUGGUAGGAGAGGAGGGGUUGAGGGUAGAGGAAUGGGUGGUAGGAGUGGAGGGGUUGAGGGUAGAGGUAGAGGAGUGGGUGGUAGGAGUG